GAUGAAGAACGCAGCGAAAUGCGAUACGUAAUGUGAAUUGCAGAAUUCAGUGAAUCAUCGAGUCUUUGAACGCACAUUGCGCCCCCUGGUAUUCCGGGGGACAUGCCUGUCCGAGCGUCAUUGCUGCCCUCAAGCACGGCUUGUGUGUUGGGCCUCCGUCCUCCUCCCGGGGGACGGGCCCGAAAGGCAGCGGCGGCACCGCGUCCGGUCCUCGAGCGUAUGGGGCUUCGUCACCCGCUCUUGUAGNCNCGGCCGGCGCUUGCCGACACAUCAAUCUUUUUUCCAGGUUGACCUCGGAUCAGGUAGGGAUACCCGCUGAACUUAAGCAUAUCAAUAAGCGGAGG
RNAcentral lists this unclassified non-coding RNA (344 nucleotides) under soil metagenome. Its description in RNAcentral is "partial contains 5.8S ribosomal RNA, internal transcribed spacer 2, and large subunit ribosomal RNA". The stretch from base 1 to 120 matches the Rfam family "5.8S ribosomal RNA", at positions 35 to 154 of the family's 154-position model. The record is from RNAcentral.